Non-coding RNA from Punica granatum (pomegranate), 486 nucleotides. The record is from RefSeq and is a predicted model, not a curated record. Lineage: Eukaryota; Viridiplantae; Streptophyta; Magnoliopsida; Myrtales; Lythraceae.
UAUGUCUAUAAAUAGUCUACAAUGUCUAAACAGACGAUUGUCUUCCAAGAAAAGCAGAAAAGAAAAUACGAAGUCCGGCGGCGGUGAAAAUGAAGCACUCACGCCUGCUUUCCUCCGUUCUUCUAGCCAUCCUCUUCUUGGUUUACGUCGCCGGGACAACAACCGCACAAUGUCCGCUCAACAACACCGAAUAUACCUAUUUAUAUGUUCCUAUGAGUCCGCACUGCGACUUGACGCAAUGCAUUGGACUCUGCACAAGUUACGGCGGAGCUGAUACUGGCUUUUGCGUCCAGCCAGAUUGUUGCUGCAAAAAAGCUAAUCAUAGCUCCAAGAAGAAGGUGGCCGAGCAUGUCCCGACCGCAAAUUAAGACGAACAUUCAUCAAGGAAAGCCGGGAAAUUAUUAUGUCACCAGACAGAUGAGAAAGAAAAGAGUUUCUAUGUAGUGGUAUACUGCUUCUUCUUAGAAUUAAUAAAUAUUGAACUCG